GACGAACGCUGGCGGCGUGCUUAACACAUGCAAGUCGAACGGUAAGGCCCUUCGGGGUACACGAGUGGCGAACGGGUGAGUAACACGUGGGUGAUCUGCCCUGCACUUCGGGAUAAGCCUGGGAAACUGGGUCUAAUACCGGAUAGGACUCCUGGCUUCAUGGUUGGGGGUGGAAAGCUUUUGCGGUGUGGGAUGGGCCCGCGGCCUAUCAGCUUGUUGGUGGGGUAAUGGCCUACCAAGGCGACGACGGGUAGCCGGCCUGAGAGGGUGACCGGUCACACGGGAACUGAGAUACGGCCCAGACUCCUACGGGAGGCAGCAGUGGGGAAUAUUGCACAAUGGGCGCAAGCCUGAUGCAGCGACGCCGCGUGAGGGAUGACGGCCUUCGGGUUGUAAACCUCUUUCAGCUAUGACGAAGCGCAAGUGACGGUAGUAGCAGAAGAAGGACCGGCCAACUACGUGCCAGCCGCCGCAGUAA
This 478-nucleotide ribosomal RNA is filed under the name uncultured bacterium. RNAcentral's name for it is "partial 16S ribosomal RNA". It matches the Rfam family "Bacterial small subunit ribosomal RNA", at positions 28 to 523 of the family's 1533-position model. The record is from RNAcentral.